UGACAUUGCAGCAACUAUUUAUUCUGAAAUGUUUGACCAUAGAGAUGAAGGGCAUAGCUCAGAUUCAUUACAUUUUGUAAGUCGCUCUGGAUAAGAGCGUCUGCUAAAUGAUGUAAAUUUCAAAACAUUAUUUACCCUUAAACUCAAUUGAGCCUUGGGAGAUGACAAUUGGGUCAUUAGACAUAUUUCACAGAAGGGCAACCUGACGACCCGAGGUAAGAAUGACUCAGUUGUAUACCUUCCCGUUGAACGGUGUUGCAACAGCACAGUUCAAUGGCUGAAUAAAGAUUUCUUACUCGGGCUGUUUACAUUAGAACAUUGUCACAGAUCGAUUCUGCUUACUUGGCAACUUAAGGGGUGCCUCUCCUAUAGACACAAAUGCGAACGCAGCUGUCUGGUGUGCUUAGUUUGACUAUGAACCAGCAACAAUUUGCGAGAGGGAUGUCUCGCUUCCUCUUCCGUAAUCUGCGGUAGGAAUUCGUAUCCGCCAAGCCCGGUAACGUCACUUCUCCGGGAAGAGAAGAGCUAAAUACGGAUGCCGACAAGAACGAAUGGAAUAAAAAAACAGAUGUAGGACACCAAAUGCCUGCUGACGAGCAGUCUGCCCCCUCUGCUCAAGAUGCAGAGCUGGGGCAGACAGAUCCACAGAAGAAGGUGGACACUGUUAGCAGGUGAGUCAACAAACACCCACAGGGUUUAUUUGUUGUGUUCGUGUUUUGGUUGGGCUGUGUUCACAUCACAGUUGUGUUGUGGUCUCUUGUCUUCUCC
Long non-coding RNA from Coregonus clupeaformis (lake whitefish), 768 nucleotides. RefSeq lists it as uncharacterized. The record is from RefSeq and is a predicted model, not a curated record. NCBI's taxonomy places the organism in Eukaryota, Metazoa, Chordata, Actinopteri, Salmoniformes, Salmonidae. The transcript has 3 exons.